This 9513-nucleotide small nuclear RNA is filed under the name Marmota monax (woodchuck). Lineage: Eukaryota; Metazoa; Chordata; Mammalia; Rodentia; Sciuridae. The record is from RNAcentral.
GUAAAUUCCUAAAUACAUUUUAACCUAAAGUUUCAGGAAGAGUCUUUGGUGGAUGACUCAUUACUUCAAGAUGAUGAUGAAGAAGAAGAGGACAAUGAAUCUCGUUCUUGGAGAAGAUGAUUUGACUGAUCAUUGAUCGGCAUAUGCUAGAACUCUACCUGUGUUUCAUUAGUAUUAUCUAAUGUACUUUUACAUAUUUGUAAAAACAAUUUUUUGGUAAAAUGUGAUGAAGAUGGAUUUCACAAAUAGACAAAAGAGAAGAAAACUACCUUCUGAUCCUGUAUUUUGAAAGAUUGAUGUUUGCAUUUUAUUUCAGUAAACAAUUGCUAAAGACAUCAUACUAGAACAUAUGCAAUGUUUUUAUUACAUACUUCUACUGAACAUUACAGAAUUCUUUGGGUUCUUUGUAAUUUAAUGAAUAGGUCUGAAAAAAUAUGACCCAAUACUUGUUAUAAUUUAGAGGAUUUUGUUUUACUCCAAAUAAGGAAUGAAUUUGCAUUUAAAAUCUUAAUGAAUGUUUUCAAAAUGAAUAGAUAACAUAGUACUCUAACUAAAGUCUCCAAGUUAUGUACUCAUAAUAUUACAUAGUAGUAUGCUUAGGCUUUACUAUGUAUUAGCCUUUUGUUGGACUUGUGUAUGUAUUUUAUCACAUGGGUUUUAAUAAUAAUGGUGUAUGACUGCUUUACAUAUGAGUCCUUAUGCAUCUGGAUGUUAAAAAUAAAGUGGAAUGGUCUCUUAAAAAGAAAAGAAAAGAAAAAAGUGACAAAAAGAAAAAAAAAGUCCAAGACAAUGUUCCUUGAUUAAAAAAAAAAGAAAAAAAAGAAAGAAAAAAGAAAAGAAAGAAAAAGAACAAAGGAAAAAAAAGAAAAUAAAAAAUUAAAAUAAAUAGACCAUUCCAGAUGGUGAUCUACCCUUCCCCCCAAUUAUCACAAAAGAAGCUAUAAUCACUUAUUCUUAAUGAUUAAUGAUACCUUUACAAUAAUGUACAAUCCAAUGUUUAAAAUUCUACCACUUCAGUUUGGUUUCAUCCUAUAAAUUUUCAACAGAUGUCUUAAAAUUUAAAAGCAGGCUGAUUAGUUUGGAGCCAGACUUCAAGUAGAGCUAACAUUUGGUGAAUAAGAAAGCAUCAUUUUACAUUUUGGAUGUAUGAAAGAAAACUUGACCAUUUGAAGAUGUAUGAAUAAAGAAAUGUACUAUAGAUACUACUUUAGGAAAACACUGUUUGGUAAGUGUUCCAGUCUGAUACUUUAAGUGUGCAUUUCCUAUACUUGUAUAAAAAUCUUUGAAAUUUGCAACAAUAUUGUGAUUUUUAAGUGGAUUUCUCUGGCAAGUGAACAUGAUUAUUGAAAGUUGAUAUAUCGGUUUUCAGGAAAUAAAUAUAUUCUUUGUAGAAUGAGGGGGUAGGAGAUUAUUAUAUUUAUUUUUAAAAUCCAUCAUUUCAAUUACAAGUGUUUCUGCCUCUCUUGAGAUUAUAGAGAUAAUAUUAAAAAUCACAUUUUAAAAAAUCACUUUCAUUCAUAUUGGAGACCUUAUAAUCAAAAACUAAUUCCAUUUAUGGAUGCUAUUUUUUUUUUAAACUUCCCCAUACACUUUGGGUUGAAGUUGUACUUUCUUGAUGGUAAUACUAUUUUGUAGGAAUGUUUUGACUUGCAGUUGCUUAUAUUUAAAAUUACACACUCAGAUUUCAGUUGUCAAAAAUACUUACUUUACCAAAAACUUUACUUAUAUCUAUGAUAUACUUUUAUGUAGUCUUUUGUAUGUUGACUAUGUGCUAUUCUGAUUCAUUAGGUAAGUUUCUUUUCUUUUCUUUUUAGUAGUCGUGAAAGGUGCCAAAUUGGCAGAGGCUCACGUUUCUUCUCUUUACACCAAACAGGUAUUAUAAAGAAAGUAAAUCUUUCGAAGGCCAGUUAAAUCUCCAUGCUGAUUUUUGGCUUUAUAAUUUGAUUAGUAAAUUUUUGCCCAAUGUUUCAAAAAUUACUGUAAAAUUCCCUUAUAAUGUACCUGAAAUUACCUGCUGUGUUUAUUUCAGCCCAUAAACAGCUAACCAGAAACACCUAGCCUAAAUUUCCUAGUAACCUAGAAUUUUAAAUGUUUUAACCAUGUUGCUUUAAAUGAAUCAGAAGACAAGUAUGUUUCAGUUUGAUCUGACAGUAUGAAGAUUAAAUAUUACCAACAUUCAUUAGGUUCAGAAAUUAUACUUUUAUAGACAUUAGUAUGGUUUUAAUUAUAAAUAUUACUUAUUAUGGAUUUUUAUGGGUAUGUUUAUAAAUACUCAGUCUCUGUGUUGUACUUUUUACAUGUUCUUUUAUUUAAAGUAUUCAUUAAUUUUAAGUAGUCAUUAAUUCCCAUUUUACAGAUAAGGAAACUUAGGCUAAUAGAAAUGGAGUGAUUUACCCAAAGUCAUGGCUCAUGAGUGGAAGGACUAGAUUUGAAUAUAAGCAUUCUGAUUCAGUGCCAACUUUUUGUUUUGUUUUUGGUACUGGGGAUUGAACCCAGGAGUGCUUCACCACUGAGCUACAUCCCCAGAUUCCUCCCAACCCCCACCCCCUACCUUUUUUUUUGUUUAUUUGUUUUGUUUUGUUUUGUUUUUGAGACUAGCUCUAAGUUGCUGAAGGCCAAACUAAGUUGCUGAAACUGGCCUUAAACUUGGGAUCCUUUUGCCUCAACCUCACGAGUAACUGGGAUUACAGGCGUCCCCACUUGUGCCAGCCCCCCCCCCCCCAAAAAAAAAAAAUUAAACUACAUUACUACUUCUUUCCUAAUUAUUGAUAAGUCAUGAGAUUGUGUUUAUAGUAAAUGUGGUAGUUCUUAUCUCAGAGAUACUGCACAAAAUUAAUAUAUUUAUUUGUCAUCAGGAAGUUCAUACUUUUACCCUCCCUUUUAAUGCAGCACUUUGUUCAUAUCUUUGUUACAAUACUUACGUUGUAAUAUAAUUUAUCUGGUUAUAUGUUACAAGCUCCUCUAGGAAGGGGACCAUGUCUUAUUCAUCUUUUUAUCUCUACUGCUUAUCAUAAAGCCUGGCUCAUGUGGGCACUCAAAUGUUUGUUGGAUAAUAUAGUGAAUGAAUGCAUAUUUAAAUCUCCAGUAAUGGGGUGACAAUUACCUCCCUUGUUAAUUCUUAUCAAUUUUACAAAAAUUUCUUUUGAUGGUCUUUUCAGUCACUGAGACCAUUUUGCUAAACAGUGGAUACAGUUAAACUUCUCUUUAGAGGGUUUAUACUUACAGUCUUAGUGAAAUUUCCACAAUAAUUAGUAAGGCAUUAAUAUUUGGGAGUGUUAAAUGUUGUAAUAUCAGAGGUAAUAUAGCCUUUGAGUUUCUAUUAGAGAAUGUGAUUGCAAAUACUGAGAAUCACCAAUCUAGUCCAUCCCACUAAUUUUUUAUAUCCAAAGGUGACCUAGUAUAGAAAACUGGACAAGUGUUAAGAGAUAACAGUUUUUGGUCUCAGCUCUGCAACUAACUGUGGCCUUAGACAAGUCUCUUACCUUAUCCAGGGUUGUUUCCUUGUCUGUAAAAUGAAAGGGGUUGGACUAGAUGAUCUCUAAGAUCCCUUUCAAACGUGUAGUUUCUUUGGUGCUAUUUUAGUGUUCCAAAACAAUUUAAUAUAUAUAAAUCAAUUCUUUAUGUCUGUUGUUGCUGUUGUUUCUAUCAUCUUAUCAGUGGAAACAACUUAGAUGUCGUUUUGAUAAUACAUAUAAUAUCUCUUGGUACAGUUUUAUAUGUAGACUUCCCAAAUUCCAUUCAACCUACUAAUAAGUAAAAAUUAACUUCUCUAUUCACUAGCAAACUUCCAUUUCCCUAUUAUAACUUUUCCUUUUGUUUCUAAACUCAAGGUUUAAAAAUAAAAAUAUCUGCCUGUAAUGCAGAAAGUCUCUUCAUAUGCAAAUAUGGAUUUAAAUCCUCUGUUCAUUUCAGUUUACUUUCUUUUUUUUACAAUAUGCUACCUAAAAGUAGAAACAUUUUUAAAUUCUAUAAUUCAACUAACAAGUUUUUUGCUUUACUGUGCAUAUAUGAGCUGUUGCAGGCAGAGUUGGGGAUGGGAAAAGGAUUAAGGGCAACUUAGGUUAUCUGCUUAUAAGAAAAAACAGGAAAAUUAUAUAUUACUGGUUAAAAGAUUGAUUAGGAUUACCUCAAGGGAUGGUUGAGUUGUCAUUUUACAUAUUUCAGUAUUUUAUGUCUCUGAGCAGUUGUUGUUUUAAGUGUUACUGGAUAAUUGUAACAUUAUAAAAAUUAAGUAUUUAAUUGAUGCCCAUACAUUUAAUGAAACUAUGAUGCAGGAAUGGAGAAUAUUCCAUAACUUUUGUUUUAUCGUCAUAUAAUCCAGUGUAACAACCAGUAGUGUAAAGACAAGGCUUCACUGUUUUAGCUGAUUACUUAUAACAAGUAUAGCUGAACUUAAUAGAAGAAAACAUCUUGUUACUAAAACUGGUUUUGGGGCACUGUAUUUCCAGUCUUAUUUGGAACACUAACUAUUGGGCAUAAAGGUCUUUUAAAAAAAAAGCAGUUGCUUGUUUGGUAUGUUGAAAUAUUAAUGAUUGUAUCAGAGUAUCAUACAGAUUUUAUCCAUCCAUAUUUUCUUUUUUCCCCUUACACAUAAUACAGACUAAUUAUAGAAAAUUAGAUUUAGUUCUCCUAGAAUUUACCUAAGUAUUUAUGAGCCUCUCCCCCUUUUAUAAAAAGUUUGCUAGCCUUUUAAAACAGAUGUCCUGUAUGAUUGUUAAAUUAGUUCACUUUUUUGAGCUUUCUUUCAGAACUUCUAAAAUCCUAUAAAUUAAAAAUGGAAAUUUAAUGUAGAAUUAAAUCACCACUGUAAAAUAUUUGUAAGGCAGAAGGAAAAUUUCUUUUUCCCAUAUAUUAGAAACUUAUUUUUGUUAACAUCUUGAACUGGCUAGUUCUAAGGUAUGUAUAUGAUUUUUAGAAAAGAAUAGUUCUAUUUUUUUCUCUUUGACAUUAUAUACUUAUCAAAUGAAACAGUCUUCUAAGAUAGCUACCUAAAAGUCCUAGGAAGAAAGAAAUUUUGGUGAACAUUACUCCCAUUGUCAAUAAUUUCAAAUGAAAACAUCAUACUUCUUUAGUAGAAAAACACCUAAUAUCUUGCACUUUGUUAGUAUUUUGUGCUCAUUACUUAAUUAAUUGAAAGCACUCUUAAUUUCACAUCACAUUUUUAUAUUUACUCCUUCCUAAGUCUCUCCCUUCGUGUUUCUUUAUUUCAUCCAUUCACUUUUCUUCUCAUCAUCCAAAGUUAGUCUUUUUUGGUAUACCAGACACUGUCUCAUUUUGAUGCAUUUCUUUUUGACCUUAGUACUUAGUAUAGAAUUUUAUAUCAUACAGAGUGUUUAAAGAAUGAAAUGGUAAUUGAAUGGAAUUUAAGGAAAUUAGUUACACCUUGCAAUUACUUUAAAGAAAAUUUUUAUUUUUAUUUAAAAUACCUUGGAGUUCAUGUUUUUUAAAUUUUUCUCUGCCUACCCACAUCUCUAUGAAUAUAUAACCUGAUAAGGAUCUAGAUUUCCUAACUGAAAAUUUCAGUCAGAACCAUGUUAUAGUGCUGUGAGUUUUGGAAGCUUGAUGUUUCAAAGAAACAUGAUGUAGAGAAGUUUUGUUAAAAUCACUUUAGUCCAAAGCUAGUCCUUUGUGUAAUUUGUCUGCAACUUUGAUUAUGAUUCCUUUCUCAAAAAGAUUAUUUUAAUGUUUAGAAAAGUUGAAGAUCAAUUUAUGGUGUGACUCAAUUUUUAGAAUUAUUUGCUUCUUGCAAAGUUUUUUUUUAAUAGUCUUCUCUUUUUUCAGCAGAGAGAGAUCAUCAUUGCCUGAAUUUAGUUUUGUGACUACAAGAGCAAGACCUGUUCCUGUCCGGAGACGACUGUUAAUGAUAAUAUCAUCCUAUCAUUUUGUUGCCCUUUAUCAAUUGAAUAGAUGUUUACAUGUACUAUAAUUAGCAUUUUAUCUUUACAGUACACCCGAGUCCAGAAGUAUCUGAAUGUGUGUUCUGUGUGACCUUAUUCAUAAAGGUUUUUUCCCCUUACUUUAUAGCCACUAUUUUUUUAAACACCUUAAAGAAGGAACAAGGCCUCUUAGUUUCCUAAUAUGAGUACAUUCAACCUCAGCCAAAUUGAGAAUUGUGUCUGGGAAAUCUAUAAAGCCAUGAUACUGUGUGUGUUCAUUAGCAUGAACAAUUUAUAAUGAAGAAAAUGAAUUAAAAAGUUAAGCAUAGUUUGGUUUUAAUUUUUUCUUGGUUUUAAGAUAUAUUUCUGAGAUUACAAGAGUCACUUAAAAUAAUUUUGAACAAAUGAGAUAUUUUUACACACUGUAAUGCUUGCCCAUUUCUUAAUGAAUAUACUUCAUUGCCAGCACCGCUUACCCAAAUAUUAUUUUUUUUUUAAUUCUUAGCUCUUCAAAACAAGGAGAAUAAUUUUCUUUUUGAGUAAUAAAUGAUGAUCUGUGGAUUAUAAAUAUUGAAAGAGAUCUAUUAAAUGUCCAGUUUACACAGCUUUUCCUGUUUUCUUCACUUGUAAUCAAACAUCAAAAGAUGAUCAAAGAUGAGCAAAGGGAAAUAGUAUAAUGUGUCUAACAUUGUUAAAGACUAUAUAGUUUCAGCUGCUUUAAAAAGUGCUUAGUGCUUGGUUCAGUAGCACAUAUACUAAAAUUGGAAUGAUACAGAGAAGAUUAGCAUGGCUCAUGCUCAAGGAUAACACAAAUUCGUGAAGCGUUCCAUAUUUUAAAAAAUGUGUAUACAAAUUAUUUAUAAACAAUGGCUUAGAAUUACCAAGACUAUGAUUAAAUCUCAUGUACACUCAAUAUUUUUAAAAAAAUUUUCUCAGUAUUCCUUCAUAGAUUCUUAGGCAUUUGAGCACUCAAGUCUUUAUUAGGAAAGUGAAGUUACACUGAUUCUAUUCACCAUUUUUUUUAAGUUCAUCCAGACAUACUUUUUUUGUGUGCAAAGCUGACUAUUCUACAUUAUUUUCCCCUUGAAUAUGCAUCGUGAUUGUCUUAUAAAAAAUGAAGAGAAUGUAAUAAACAUAUAAUAUUAUCUGUUUUGAUCCACAUUGGUUACACAGGCAUGGUUAAGGGAAAAGUCAUAUUGUGAAAAGUCUUCUGACAGUUAUUAACAAGGCAUUUGUUUUCUUAAACUUGACUUUUUUGAGGGGGCCGGGGGCAUUCGCAUUUACAAACUAGCAGGUAGCUAGCUACCGGAAAUUCAAAAACAUUUUCCCAGAUUAGUUUGGUACUUUUGAUUUUCAAGGAAAGACUCUCUGCCCCUAAAGUAGUAGUUCAGCUGCUAGAUUAGAACCCAAAGAACAUCUUCUGAAGAGACCCUACUUGCUCUUAAGUUUUGUUUUUUUUAAUGGAUGUGGACCAUUUACUACCACCUUCAACUUUGUCAUGGUUUUUCCCUUUGCUUUUAAAUUAAAGCAAAUUGAAUAUGCCAAUGGGAAUCAAAAGUCAAGAUGAUUUGAUUCUCAUUAAGAUCAUUGUGUUUUUUGAAAAUUGCUGUGAGAUCCAGUUGGUCAGUUAUGUAUUUAAAUCCUCAUAUGUUGAUUAAAGAUAGGUUCUCAUUUUUUAAAUUUUCUUAAAUAGGAUUCUCAUGGAGCUAUGUGUAGAUAACUGUACAGAAUCACUUUUAUGUAAUGAAUGAAGUGGUUUACCUCUGCAUGAUUGCAUUAUGGAAGCCUUUUAUAUAUCUUUAUAUUUUUCAAUAUACUUAGAUUUUACACUAUUAGCCACUCUAGUCAUGCUAUAUUUGUUUUUUUAAUAGAGUUUAUAAAUAUUUAUGCUCAAAGUACAGAUCAACUGAAUAUUUUUGGUCUUGUUUACAAGAUAAUACUUUAAAGUGAUACAGGCCCCUCAAGUGUCUUAGGAAAAAGUCGUUGGUGCUACAAAACCUUUCAUUAAUCAUUUUGAACCUGUUGUCUAGACUUUGCUAGGCUUUAAUCUGUGAUUGCUUAUGAUUUAUUCUAAUCUAGCAGCAUAAUUAUAAAAGUGGUUCACGCUGAGUCAAGUAAAGAGCCCAGCCUAUUUGAAACACCUCAUAAGUUAAGGAAAUGGUACAGAAUGACUGUACACUUAUUUGUGCCCAGCUUCCCCUAAAAGAUUAUUUUGAUAAGAAGGUUAUUAAUUUGACUAAAAUUUUAAAAAAUGUAUUCAGCAUGGCUGUUUUCUCAUAUGUCAAUUGGAAAACUUCUCUAGUACUAAAAUAUUAUGUAAUCUUACUCUGCUUCAAGUUGCCUUCUUUCACUCAACAGUAGGCAGAGUAAUUCUUGACUAUUUGCAGAAUACUUGAUGAGUUAUUAAGAGAUGUAUUAUUACAUUGUACAAGUUUUGCAUUGAUGUGUAGAGUUUUUGUUUUGUCCCCAAAUUUUAUUCCAGCACCUUAGUGAAUGUUCUUAAGAUACUAUUGUUAAGUAUCAGCAAAGCAUUCAUAUAUGUUUACUUUUGAUUCUCAGAAUCCUGAACUUGUUUUGAGUGGUACUACUUCAGAACAUACUGUCUGGCACAAGAUUUCCUUUAACAAGUGGUUUGUUUUAACUUAGUUUCUGUGGACUGCUGAAUCUAAAAACACCAAAGGAGUUUUUUCUUGUCUGAAGACUGGAUUGUUCCAGUGUUUAAUACCUGUGCCCAUAAGUAUCCCAUUUCAUGAAUGUGUGUUGGCAUGGGGAAAAAUAUUCCCUGCUCUUUGAGUGGAGCGAAAGUAAUUGGUUAAGCUGUAGCAGCUUUUUGUUUAUUUUUAAAGUGAUAAUAAAACUUGAACUUAAAAAAGGCAAAACUUGAACUAGAAACUACUCUUGUAUGCUUAGAAUGUUUAUAGUAUUACAUGGUUUAUGUGGGGUUGUCAACAUUUUUAUUAUUUAUAGUUGAAUUAUGUUUUGUUUGUUAAAUAUCCAUAAUGUUUAUUAUUUUUAUAUUUCAAAAAUUUUAAAAUAAAAUAGUCUUACUAAAAACAGUUGUUAACGUUUAGAAUUGUCCUACAUCUUGCAUCAGCUGUAUUAUUAUGAACUAGAAAGAUAUGUACCCGAUGGGCAUUAACAGUUGAGAAUUCUGAAAAUUGUCUGUACAAAGAAAUGGCUCCACAUUUUCUCUUGCUUCUUCACCCUUAUUCUUAUUUUUUUUAAUUUAAUUUUGGUUCUGGUGUGUUGAUAGCUUAAUAACUCCUCUCACAUAUGCAUACAUAAAUUUUCAUUACCCUUUUCCUCUCUAGUUUCUGCCUCUUCACUGGUGGAAGUUUUCUCUAUUCAUUUAUGGCCAACAAUUUAGGAGUGAUAAGUAUAGAAAUACUAUUAUGUCAAAGGAGGAAUUCCAUGGAUUUCUAAAAGUGAAGUAUCAAUCCCCGAGGCCAUUGAAAGCUUUCAAAUUUCUCUAACUGAAUUUUCACCUGAAGUUUUUUCCCUUCUGAUCUGAUUUGGCUUACUUUCCCAGCAUUUAGCAUGUUCAUUUCAUAUUUAAUUUUAUCAAAUGGAUUUUAUAAAAACUCUGCAAAAAUGCAUUUUCAUCUCACUGUUUCAAUAAAAAAAAUCUAAAGAGAUA